Molecule: ribosomal RNA, 486 nt
Filed under: Triticum aestivum (bread wheat)
Lineage: Eukaryota; Viridiplantae; Streptophyta; Magnoliopsida; Poales; Poaceae
Description: partial small subunit ribosomal RNA
Source: RNAcentral
AUGUGCUACGGCGUGCACUUUGCCGCCAAGAAAUUGAAGCCGUAUUUUCAAGAGCACCCAAUUACUGUGGUCUGCACGGCUCAACUUGCCGAGAUCAUUGGAAGACGAGAUGCUUCAGGCCGAGUGGCCAAAUGGGCCAUAGAUUUGGCCCCCUACACCAUCUACUACCAACGUCGCACCGCCAUCAAGUCACAAGCACUGGCCGACUUCCUCGUCGACUGGGCCGAAACCCAGUACCUGCCGCCAGCGCCAGACUCCACCCAUUGGCGGAUGCAUUUUGAUGGUUCCAAGAUGCGCACCGGUUUGGGAGCCGGCAUCGUCCUCACCUCUCCCAAAGGCGACAAGCUCAGAUAUGUGCUGCAAAUCCAUUUUGCCGCCUCCAACAACGUCACUGAAUACGAGGCACUCAUUCACGGGCUCCGGCUUGCCAAAGAACUCGGCAUUCGCCAGAUCCUGUGCUAUGGUGACUCUGACUUGGUGGUCUAG